This is a ribosomal RNA of Faecalibacterium prausnitzii, 121 nucleotides long. It matches the Rfam family "Bacterial large subunit ribosomal RNA", at positions 1 to 121 of the family's 2925-position model. NCBI's taxonomy places the organism in Bacteria, Bacillati, Bacillota, Clostridia, Eubacteriales, Oscillospiraceae. The record is from Rfam.
GGUCAAGCGAACAAGGGCGCAGGGCGAAUGCCUUGGCACUGGGAGCCGAUGAAAGACGUGAUAAGCUGCGAAAAGCUUCGGGGAGCUGCAAAUAAGCAUUGAUCCGGAGAUUUCUGAAUGA